AAGGGCCUACCACAGUGCCUGGCGCACAGUGCGCCUUAGCCGGUGUCAGCAACAUCCGGGAACUCUGUGCUGCUGCUUCUCCUUCGUUCUCGCGAGGGUUCUCGUGAGGGUUGUUGUUGGAAAGCAUGGAAGCACUCCGGACCAGUUCAAGCAAGCCAUGGCGGGGCAUGUUUGGGAGUUAGUGUGAGUCUCCAGGGGUCUUAGAGAAACUAAAAACAGGACAGCAUCCAUAAACAACCACACGUCCUGCAGCAGUAGAGUGGACACACACAUUGCAGCAUAAUAAUACAAUGGAAGAGUAGCCAGCAGGGGAGAAAACGUGAACUCUGGCGUGCCACGGCAUGGAUAAAUGGCCAAUGGAUAAAGAUUGAAUAAAGAAAGCCAGACAACAAACACCACACAUGAUCAGGCAGGAGUCCUGGCAAGCCUCCAUUGGUCCCAAGUCUGUCACAGCAACUGCUUAUGGACUGGUCAGGACUGGGUUUUGUGCCCACCUCUGGACAGAGAGCAGAUGUUCCCCAGCAUGGAUGCUUGCUUCCUCCAAGCCUGCAAGGGAUGUAGAGGCUGCAGCAGCAUCUGAUGUACGGACCUCAUAAUCAAGCCAGGGAGGCAGACGCGAACAGACCAUUGGAACAUGAAGUGGUGAACGCAGCACCAGAGGAAAGCAGAGGGACCAGAGUGAUGGACCAUGGACACGGGAAGCAGAAAUCAAAGCCGGAGGAUGGGAGAAAGAUCUAAGACCAACGGCUCAACUGUGGAACACUCAGAUCCUAGAAGGCUCCGAAGACACGACAGUAAAAGGGGGAAAUGCACUGAAAGUGCAGAUCCGGAUGUCAGGAGGACGCAGGAAAGUGCCCAACCUCGCACACGGAGAAACCAGUCCAGACCAGUGUCUCUCUUUUUCCUAACAUGUCCUGUCUGCCUAAGUAUGCAUCCCUAAACGAUAGACUAUUGUA
Molecule: long non-coding RNA, 956 nt
Organism: Suricata suricatta (meerkat)
Lineage: Eukaryota; Metazoa; Chordata; Mammalia; Carnivora; Herpestidae
Exons: 6
Source: RefSeq, a predicted model, not a curated record